Molecule: small nucleolar RNA, 133 nt
Organism: Chelonoidis abingdonii (Abingdon island giant tortoise)
Lineage: Eukaryota; Metazoa; Chordata; Testudines; Testudinidae
Source: Ensembl
CCCCUUCUGAGAAGCACUUGCUGGGUCUGUGGUCAGUGACUCAGUGAGUUGUCGUGGAAGGGCAUAAAAAAGGCAUCGCUUUUGGGUGAGGUGGCGGCAUGUGCUGUUAACUUCAAUGAGUGGUGUGACAGUG